GGACCGUAUGAUACACUGGUAAUCUUAACAGCUCACCUCUUCAGGAUGCUGACACUGCUCCAUGUGCCCGCAAUUGUCUUGCGUGUAUGAUUACACUAACGACGUCGCCCACCACGGCGGAAGUGUUUUGCGCACGUACGUUUCAGCAUGAAGCCCGCAGGUGGACGUAAAUUGUAGAAGGCAGCCAGUGGGGGAAAAGAUCAUGGUCAUAGGUCAUGUGGCUCCUGGAGCUCCAAGUGGGCUCCCUUGUGGAGUCACUUUUCAGAACACACACACACAGUUUGCUCACAGAACCAACGAGUAGGAUGUUGCUCGAAUGCUGAGAAAAUGGCGUAACAGAUACAAAUAUCGUGUGACACAGUAUGACAAUAAAAACAUUUUCACGAGGGAUGCAUGAAACACUGUCGCAAUAUUGUGUGCAUGAACCAUUGUCACACAAGCCGUGGGGGCACACCGCCUCGGACGCACUUUGGGAAGCAUAAAACACAGCGAUUGCUAAUGUGAUUGAUGCUUCUUUUUCCUUUUGCCCGUGAUGACACAUCUUCGGCCGAAAUGAGACUACCUUCGGCCGUAUUGAGACUUUGGCCGUAAUGAUACACUUGGGGAUCACAUGAUUUUCCUCCGUAAUAAGACUUUGGCCGUAAUGAGAUGUUACCCUCACUUUGCAUUGAUUGGUUUUCAAAGUUCACUCACUCCAGUGCCUCUUUUUUAAAUUUAUGAAUGCAUGAACAUUAUUCUUUAUUCCCUGCAUGCUCGUCUAGAAUAUUUUAUAUUUUUAGCGUGCUAACGUUAAAAACUUGUGCUGUUCUUAAGUUGAUUCUGUUUAGUAAGCCGAUUCUGAUUAUUAUGAAUAAUGUAUUUCUCAUUU
Ornithodoros turicata is the source of this 868-nucleotide long non-coding RNA. RefSeq lists it as uncharacterized. The transcript is spliced from 3 exons. The record is from RefSeq and is a predicted model, not a curated record. NCBI's taxonomy places the organism in Eukaryota, Metazoa, Arthropoda, Arachnida, Ixodida, Argasidae.